RNAcentral lists this unclassified non-coding RNA (250 nucleotides) under plant metagenome. RNAcentral's name for it is "partial contains small subunit ribosomal RNA, internal transcribed spacer 1, and 5.8S ribosomal RNA". The record is from RNAcentral.
GUAGGUGAACCUGCGGAAGGAUCAUUAUCAUAACGUAUCCACGUAUAAACUAACUUUAAUUGAUGUGAAACGUAACUGUUUAACACCUUCGAUAGUUAAUUGAUUGCCAUACUUAUUGUGUUUGAUUAAAGCAUGCGAGUAUGGACUUGAUCACCUUCAUUGGUGAACUAGCAUUAACUGUUGGAGUGUAAUUAACCCAAUUUAAUCAUUUAUUUACCCAUUGAACCGAUUAACUAUUAUUAAUAGUUUU